Molecule: long non-coding RNA, 568 nt
Organism: Felis catus (domestic cat)
Lineage: Eukaryota; Metazoa; Chordata; Mammalia; Carnivora; Felidae
Exons: 3
Source: RefSeq, a predicted model, not a curated record
ACAAGGUUAAUUUCUCAUAGUGACCUGUAUUAUGAGGGCAGCAAAACACUAAGGAGGUAGAAAGCGAUGGAUGGGGUAUGGGACAGAGGUGAGAAGGAGCCAACAACACAAUGGACGGAUCGGGCAGGCGAAGGACAGGUUGUCAGUUCCAUGAGGAUGAAGCCAUUGUUUUCCCAGGGCCCAGUGCUAGCCCCGGACACAGCAAGUGCUUGAAUAUGUAUUGAAUGUGUGAAGUUGGAAGACAAGCUUAAAUCCUCGGUUGGGCAUGUGAACCUCUCUGGGCCUCAUUUUCUUCUGUUUAUAAAACAUUGAAGAUAAUACCCCUUCACUGGACUGCUUGGGGCUCCCUGUGCUGGGAGGGAGAGCCAGCUCCACCCCCUGCAGGCGGGUCAUUCACCUCCAGAUCUGAAUGCCGUCUUUGUUUCUCGAGGGGUAUUUAGGAUAAAAUGAUGCGCUGUCAGCUUGGAUGUGAAUUAAACUAACAGUUCAACCAGGAAACCAGGUUGCGAGGAAUGUUGCUGGGAGUCAUUCACAAAAAGGAAUAAGCUGCGACGGAGGUAUUCUCUGG